UGGGGAAUAUUGCACAAUGGGCGCAAGCCUGAUGCAGCCAUGCCGCGUGUAUGAAGAAGGCCUUCGGGUUGUAAAGUACUUUCAGUCGGGAGGAAGGUGUCAAGGUUAAUAACCUUGGCAAUUGACGUUACCGACAGAAGAAGCACCGGCUAACUCCGUGCCAGCAGCCGCGGUAAUACGGAGGGUGCAAGCGUUAAUCGGAAUUACUGGGCGUAAAGCGCACGCAGGCGGUUGAUUGAGUCAGAUGUGAAAUCCCCGGGCUUAACCCGGGAAUUGCAUCUGAUACUGGUCAGCUAGAGUCUUGUAGAGGGGGGUAGAAUUCCAUGUGUAGCGGUGAAAUGCGUAGAGAUGUGGGGGAAUACCGGUGGCGAAGGCGGCCCCCUGGACAAAGACUGACGCUCAGGUGCGAAAGCGUGGGGAGCAAACAGG
Molecule: ribosomal RNA, 429 nt
Filed under: Chloroflexota bacterium
Lineage: Bacteria; Bacillati; Chloroflexota
Description: Chloroflexi bacterium partial 16S ribosomal RNA
Rfam family: Bacterial small subunit ribosomal RNA
Source: RNAcentral